ACGUACACUCCUGCGGGAGGCAGCAGUGGGGAAUAUUGCACAAUGGGCGCAAGCCUGAUGCAGCCAUGCCGCGUGUAUGAAGAAGGCCUUCGGGUUGUAAAGUACUUUCAGCGGGGAGGAAGGCAAUACGGUUAAUAACCGUGUUGAUUGACGUUACCCGCAGAAGAAGCACCGGCUAACUCCGUGCCAGCAGCCGCGGUAAUACGGAGGGUGCAAGCGUUAAUCGGAAUUACUGGGCGUAAAGCGCACGCAGGCGGUCUGUCAAGUCGGAUGUGAAAUCCCCGGGCUCAACCUGGGAACUGCAUUCGAAACUGGCAGGCUUGAGUCUUGUAGAGGGGGGUAGAAUUCCAGGUGUAGCGGUGAAAUGCGUAGAGAUCCGGAGGAAUACCGGUGGCGAAGGCGGCCCCCUGGACAAAGACUGACGCUCAGGUGCGAAAGCGUGGGGAGCAAACAGGAUUAGAAGCCCCAGUAGUCCCAUGA
RNAcentral lists this ribosomal RNA (480 nucleotides) under uncultured organism. RNAcentral's name for it is "partial 16S ribosomal RNA". It matches the Rfam family "Bacterial small subunit ribosomal RNA", at positions 329 to 800 of the family's 1533-position model. The record is from RNAcentral.